UAAUACGUAGGAGGCAAGCGUUAUCCGGAUUUACUGGGCGUAAAGAGGGCGUAGGCGGUCCUUCAAGUUGGAUAUAAAAUCUCCCGGCUUAACCGGGAGGGAUUAUUCGAUACUGUUGGACUAGAGCGCAGUAGAGGGAGGCGGAAUUCCCGGUGUAGCGGUGAAAUGCGUAGAUACCGGGAGGAACACCAGUGGCGAAGGCGGCCUCCUGGGUUGUUGCUGACGCUGAGGCCCGAAAGCGUGGGGAGCGAACAGGAUUAGAUACCCUGGUAGUCCACGCUGUAAACGAUGGACACUAGGUAUGGGGAGUAUCGACCCUUCUCGUGCCGAAGCUAACGCUUUAAGUGUCCCGCCUGGGGACUACGACCGCAAGGUUA
This 377-nucleotide ribosomal RNA is filed under the name uncultured bacterium. Its description in RNAcentral is "bacterial SSU rRNA". It matches the Rfam family "Bacterial small subunit ribosomal RNA", at positions 521 to 896 of the family's 1533-position model. The record is from RNAcentral.